CACGCCGUAAAACGAUGUCGACUUGGAGGUUGUGCCCUUGAGGCGUGGCUUCCGGAGCUAACGCGUUAAGUCGACCGCCUGGGGAGUACGGCCGCAAGGUUAAAACUCAAAUGAAUUGACGGGGGCCCGCACAAGCGGUGGAGCAUGUGGUUUAAUUCGAUGCAACGCGAAGAACCUUACCUACUCUUGACAUCCAGAGAACUUUCCAGAGAUGGAUUGGUGCCUUCGGGAACUCUGAGACAGGUGCUGCAUGGCUGUCGUCAGCUCGUGUUGUGAAAUGUUGGGUUAAGUCCCGCAACGAGCGCAACCCUUAUCCUUUGUUGCCAGCGGUCCGGCCGGGAACUCAAAGGAGACUGCCAGUGAUAAACUGGAGGAAGGUGGGGAUGACGUCAAGUCAUCAUGGCCCUUACGAGUAGGGCUACACACGUGCUACAAUGGCGCAUACAAAGAGAAGCGAACUCGCGAGAGCAAGCGGACCUCAUAAAGUGCGUCGUAGUCCGGAUUGGAGUCUGCAACUCGACUCCAUGAAGUCGGAAUCGCUAGUAAUCGUAGAUCAGAAUGCUACGGUGAAUACGUUCCCGGGCCUUGUACACACCGCCCGUCACACCAUGGGAGUGGGUUGCAAAAGAAGUAGGUAGCUUAACCUUCGGGAGGGCGCUUACCACUUUGUGAUUCAUGACNGGGGUGAAGUCGUAACAAGGUAAC
RNAcentral lists this ribosomal RNA (705 nucleotides) under Enterobacter sp. Its description in RNAcentral is "bacterial SSU rRNA". It matches the Rfam family "Bacterial small subunit ribosomal RNA", at positions 796 to 1500 of the family's 1533-position model. The record is from RNAcentral. Lineage: Bacteria; Pseudomonadati; Pseudomonadota; Gammaproteobacteria; Enterobacterales; Enterobacteriaceae.